AGAGUUUGAUCCUGGCUCAGAGCGAACGCUGGCGGCAGGCCUAACACAUGCAAGUCGAACGGACCCUUCGGGGUUAGUGGCGGACGGGUGAGUAACACGUGGGAACGUGCCCUUUGGUUCGGAAACAACACAGGGAAACUUGUGCUAAUACCGGAUAAGCCCUUCGGGGGAAAGAUUUAUUGCCAUUGGAGCGGCCCGCGUUGGAUUAGGUAGUUGGUGAGGUAAAGGCUCACCAAGCCUGCGAUCCAUAGCUGGUCUGAGAGGAUGAUCAGCCACAUUGGGACUGAGACACGGCCCAAACUCCUACGGGAGGCAGCAGUGGGGAAUCUUGCGCAAUGGGCGAAAGCCUGACGCAGCCAUGCCGCGUGAAUGAUGAAGGUCUUAGGAUUGUAAAAUUCUUUCAGCGGGGACGAUAAUGACGGUACCCGCAGAAGAAGCCCCGGCUAACUUCGUGCCAGCAGCCGCGGUAAUACGAAGGGGGCUAGCGUUGCUCGGAAUUACUGGGCGUAAAGGGAGCGUAGGCGGAUAGUUUAGUCAGAGGUGAAAGCCCAGGG
RNAcentral lists this ribosomal RNA (554 nucleotides) under uncultured freshwater bacterium. Its description in RNAcentral is "bacterial SSU rRNA". It matches the Rfam family "Bacterial small subunit ribosomal RNA", at positions 8 to 607 of the family's 1533-position model. The record is from RNAcentral.